This 107-nucleotide small nuclear RNA is filed under the name Sorex araneus (European shrew). Lineage: Eukaryota; Metazoa; Chordata; Mammalia; Eulipotyphla; Soricidae. The record is from RNAcentral.
GUGCCCACUUCGGCAGCACCUAUACUAUAAUUGGAACAAUACAGAGAAGAUUAGCAUGAUCCCUGCACAAGGAUGACAUGCAAAUUUCAUAUUUAAAAAAAUUUUUU